This 433-nucleotide ribosomal RNA is filed under the name uncultured bacterium. RNAcentral describes it as "partial 16S ribosomal RNA". It matches the Rfam family "Bacterial small subunit ribosomal RNA", at positions 29 to 507 of the family's 1533-position model. The record is from RNAcentral.
AACGAACACUGGCGGCAUGCCUAACACAUGCAAGUCGAACGAGACCUUCGGGUCUAGUGGCGCACGGGUGCGUAACGCGUGGGAACCUGCCCUUAGGUUCGGAAUAACUCCCCGAAAGGGGUGCUAAUACCGGAUAAUGUCUUCGGACCAAAGAUUUAUCGCCUUUGGAUGGGCCCGCGUUGGAUUAGCUAGUUGGUAGGGUAAAAGCCUACCAAGGCGACGAUCCAUAGCUGGUCUGAGAGGAUGAUCAGCCACACUGGGACUGAGACACGGCCCAGACUCCUACGGGAGGCAGCAGUGGGGAAUAUUGGACAAUGGGCGAAAGCCUGAUCCAGCAAUGCCGCGUGAGUGAUGAAGGCCUUAGGGUUGUAAAGCUCUUUUACCCGGGAUGAUAAUGACAGUACCGGGAGAAUAAGCGCCGGCUAACUCCGUG